Molecule: ribosomal RNA, 505 nt
Filed under: uncultured bacterium
Lineage: Bacteria
Description: bacterial SSU rRNA
Rfam family: Bacterial small subunit ribosomal RNA
Source: RNAcentral
UCAGAACGAACGCUGGCGGCGCGUUUAAGCAUGCAAGUCGAGCGGCAAGGGCCUUCGGGCCCCUAGAGCGGCGGACGGGUGAGUAACACGUGGACAAUCUGCCCCCCGGCCCGGGAUAGCCCAGGGAAACCUGGAUUAAUACCGGAUGGAGACGGGACCCGCGAUGGCGGGACCCGGGAAAGGCGCUGCGGCGCCGCCGGGGGAUGAGUCUGCGUCCCAUUAGCUAGACGGCGGGGUAACGGCCCACCGUGGCGACGAUGGGUAGCCGGCCUGAGAGGGUGGACGGCCACAUUGGAACUGAGACACGGUCCAGACUCCUACGGGAGGCAGCAGCUAAGAAUCUUCCGCAAUGGGCGAAAGCCUGACGGAGCGACGCCCGCGUGAACGAAGAAGGCCGUGAGGUUGUAAAGUUCUUUUCGGGAGGGGGAACAACCGUGGCAGGGAAUGGCCGCGGGAUGACGUGAAUCCCGGAAUAAGCCCCGGCUAACUACGUGCCAGCCGCAGC